UGGGCCUUGGUAUGGAAACCCGCUGAGUGAGAACUUUCAAAUUCAGAGAAACCCUGGAAUUAAUAAAAAGGGGCAAUCCUGAGCCAAAUCCUGUUUUCCGAAAACAAAGGUUCAUAAAGUGAAAGGGGGGAUAGGUGCAGAGACUCAAUGGAAGCUGUUCUAACAAAUGGAGUUGGCUGCGGUAGUAGAGAAGUCUUUCCGUCAAAAAUUCAGUAAGUAUUAUAAGUAUUAGAAGUAUUAAGGAUUUUAAAAGUAUUAAGGAUGAAGUGAAAGAUAACCGUAUAUACAUACGUAGUGAAUAGUAUAUUAAAUGAGUAAUGAAUGAUUAAUGACAGCCUGAAUGAAUCUUUGUUUUUUCUAUGAAAAAACAAAGAAUUGGUGUGAAUAGAUUCCACGCCGAAGAAAAAAAUCUAAUAUUCAUUCACUCCACAGUCUGAUAGAUCUUUUCAACAAUUGAUUAAUCGGACGAGAAUAAAGAUAGAGUCCCAUUCUACAUGUCAAUGCUGGCAAAAAUGCAAUUUAUAGUUAAGAAGAAAAUCCGUCGACUUUUAAAAUCGUGAGGGUUCAAGUCCCUCUAUCCCCAAAUAGAUUAUUUGCCAACCCAACUAUUUACCUAUCCCUCUUUUUGUUAUCGGUUUCAAAAUUCCUUAUCUAUUCACACUCUAUUUUCUUAGAAUUAAUCGGGGCGGAAAUGCCCUUUUCUUAUCACAUCUAUAUGAUAUACAUAGAAAUGAACAUCUUUGAGAACGAAAUCCCCAUUUGUUUGAGCACGAAAUCCCCAUUUGAAUGAUUUAGAUUUUCAAUUUAUAUAAUUUAUAAUUAUUCAGACUGAAACUCCCAAAGUACUCUUUUUUAAGAUUAAGACCUAAGCCAAGCAAUUUCAGUACCUAACUAAAACUUGGGAAUUACCUUUCCUUCUUUUAACUUUUAAUUUUUAAUUGACACAGCCUCCGUUUUCGAGUAAAAUGAGGAUGCUACAUUGGGACUGGUCGGGAUAGCUCAGCUGGUAGAGCAGAGGACUGAAAAUCCUCGUGUC
RNAcentral lists this unclassified non-coding RNA (1036 nucleotides) under Coussarea sp. 'Andersson 1927'. RNAcentral describes it as "partial contains trnL gene and trnL-F intergenic spacer". The stretch from base 1 to 507 matches the Rfam family "Group I catalytic intron". The record is from RNAcentral. Lineage: Eukaryota; Viridiplantae; Streptophyta; Magnoliopsida; Gentianales; Rubiaceae.